UGGGGAAUUUUGGACAAUGGGCGAAAGCCUGAUCCAGCAAUGCCGCGUGUGUGAAGAAGGCCUUCGGGUUGUAAAGCACUUUUGUCCGGAAAGAAAUCCUUGGCUCUAAUACAGUCGGGGGAUGACGGUACCGGAAGAAUAAGCACCGGCUAACUACGUGCCAGCAGCCGCGGUAAUACGUAGGGUGCAAGCGUUAAUCGGAAUUACUGGGCGUAAAGCGUGCGCAGGCGGUUUGCUAAGACCGAUGUGAAAUCCCCGGGCUCAACCUGGGAACUGCAUUGGUGACUGGCAGGCUAAAGUAUGGCAGAGGGGGGUAGAAUUCCACGUGUAGCAGUGAAAUGCGUAGAGAUGUGGAGGAAUACCGAUGGCGAAGGCAGCCCCCUGGGCCAAUACUGACGCUCAUGCACGAAAGCGUGGGGAGCAAACAGGAUUAGAUACCCUGGUAGUCCACGCCCUAAACGAUGUCAACUAGUUGUUGGGGAUUCAUUUCCUUAGUAACGUAGCUAACGCGUGAAGUUGACCGCCUGGGGAGUACGGUCGCAAGAUUAAAAACUCAAAUGAAUUGACGGGGUC
This 573-nucleotide ribosomal RNA is filed under the name uncultured bacterium. Its description in RNAcentral is "partial 16S ribosomal RNA". It matches the Rfam family "Bacterial small subunit ribosomal RNA", at positions 355 to 920 of the family's 1533-position model. The record is from RNAcentral.